UACACAUGCAGUCGACUNGACAUUCGAGAUUAGCGGCGGACGGGUGAGUAACGCGUGGGAACGUGCCCUUUUCUACGGAAUAGCCUCGGGAAACUGAGAGUAAUACCGUAUACGCCCUUUUGGGGAAAGAUUUAUCGGAGAAGGAUCGGCCCGCGUUGGAUUAGGUAGUUGGUGGGGUAAUGGCCUACCAAGCCGACGAUCCAUAGCUGGUUUGAGAGGAUGAUCAGCCACACUGGGACUGAGACACGGCCCAGACUCCUACGGGAGGCAGCAGUGGGGAAUCUUAGACAAUGGGGGCAACCCUGAUCUAGCCAUGCCGCGUGAGUGAUGAAGGCCUUAGGGUUGUAAAGCUCUUUCAGCUGGGAAGAUAAUGACGGUACCAGCAGAAGAAGCCCCGGCUAACUCCGUGCCAGCAGCCGCGGUAAU
Molecule: ribosomal RNA, 426 nt
Filed under: uncultured bacterium
Lineage: Bacteria
Description: bacterial SSU rRNA
Rfam family: Bacterial small subunit ribosomal RNA
Source: RNAcentral